Molecule: transfer RNA, 68 nt
Filed under: Haliotis iris (paua abalone)
Lineage: Eukaryota; Metazoa; Mollusca; Gastropoda; Lepetellida; Haliotidae
Also listed under: 3 other names
Description: tRNA-Tyr
Source: RNAcentral
UGUGAGAUGGCUGAGUUUUAAGCAGAAGAUUGUAGCUCUUUUUACGGAGAGUGUUUCUCCUCUCAUAA